RNAcentral lists this ribosomal RNA (413 nucleotides) under uncultured bacterium. Its description in RNAcentral is "bacterial SSU rRNA". It matches the Rfam family "Bacterial small subunit ribosomal RNA", at positions 355 to 774 of the family's 1533-position model. The record is from RNAcentral.
UCGAGGAUCUUCGGCAAUGAGCGCAAGCUUGACCGAGCGACGCCGCGUGAGCGAUGAAGGCCUUCGGGUUGUAAAGCUCUUUAGUGGGGGAGAAAAGCCCGCAAGGGUGUGAUCUAUCCCAAAAAUAAGCACGGGCUAAGUUCGUGCCAGCAGCCGCGGUAAGACGAACCGUGCGAACGUUGUUCGGAAUCACUGGGCUUAAAGGGCGCGUAGGCGGGCUGACAAGUCUGGGGUGAAAUGCCGCGGCUCAACCGUGGAACUGCCUUAGAUACUGUCGGCCUCGAGGAAGGUAGGGGCAUGCGGAACUGUAGGUGGAGCGGUGAAAUGCGUUGAUAUCUACAGGAACUCCGGUGGCGAAAGCGGCGUGCUGGACCUUUUCUGACGCUGAGGCGCGAAAGCUAGGGGAGCAAACG